RNAcentral lists this ribosomal RNA (465 nucleotides) under uncultured bacterium. RNAcentral describes it as "partial 16S ribosomal RNA". It matches the Rfam family "Bacterial small subunit ribosomal RNA", at positions 338 to 795 of the family's 1533-position model. The record is from RNAcentral.
CCUACGGGCGGCAGCAGUGGGGAAUAUUGCGCAAUGGGCGAAAGCCUGACGCAGCGACGCCGCGUGAGGGAUGAAGGUCUUCGGAUCGUAAACCUCUGUCAGCAGGGAAGAACGGUCACUGUGCUAAUCAGCAGUGCAUUGACGGUACCUGCAAAGGUAGCACCGGCUAACUCCGUGCCAGCAGCCGCGGUAAUAUGGAGGGUGCGAGCGUUAAUCGGAAUUACUGGGCGGAAAGCGCUCGUAGGCGGUAUGUCAAGUCAGCGGUGAAAUCCCCGGGCUCAACGUGGGAACUGCCUUUGAAACUGGCAAACUGGAGUGUGUGAGAGGAUAGUGGAAUUCCAGGUGUAGGAGUGAAAUGCGUAGAUAUCUGGAAGAACAUCAGUGGCGAAGGCGACUAUCUGGGACAUAACUGACGCUGAGGAGCGAAAGCGUGGGUAGCAAACAGGAUUAGAUACCCCUGUAGUC